Molecule: ribosomal RNA, 354 nt
Filed under: uncultured bacterium
Lineage: Bacteria
Description: bacterial SSU rRNA
Rfam family: Bacterial small subunit ribosomal RNA
Source: RNAcentral
AGAGUUUGAUCAUGGCUCAGGAUGAACGCUAGCUACAGGCUUAACACAUGCAAGUCGAGGGGAAACGACAUCGAAAGCUUGCUUUUGAUGGGCGUCGACCGGCGCACGGGUGAGUAACGCGUAUCCAACCUGCCCACCACUUGGGGAUAACCUUGCGAAAGUAAGACUAAUACCCAAUGAUAUCUCUAGAAGACAUCUGAAAGAGAUUAAAGAUUUAUCGGUGAUGGAUGGGGAUGCGUCUGAUUAGCUUGUUGGCGGGGUAACCGGCCACCAAGGCUACGAUCGAGUAGGGGUUUCUGAGAGGAACGGUCCCCCANAUUGGAACUGAGACACGGUCCAACUCCUACGGGAGCA